Molecule: ribosomal RNA, 434 nt
Filed under: uncultured bacterium
Lineage: Bacteria
Description: bacterial SSU rRNA
Rfam family: Bacterial small subunit ribosomal RNA
Source: RNAcentral
CAGCAGCCGCGGUAAUACGAAGGGUGCAAGCGUUAAUCGGAAUUACUGGGCGUAAAGCGCGCGUAGGUGGUUCGUUAAGUCGGAUGUGAAAGCCCCGGGCUCAACCUGGGAACUGCAUCCAAAACUGGCGAGCUAGAGUAUGGCAGAGGGUGGUGGAAUUUCCUGUGUAGCGGUGAAAUGCGUAGAUAUAGGAAGGAACACCAGUGGCGAAGGCGGCCACCUGGGCUAAUACUGACACUGAGGUGCGAGAGCGUGGGGAGCAAACAGGAUUAGAUACCCUGGUAGUCCACGCCGUAAACGAUGUCGAUCUAGCCGUUNGGNUCCUUGAGAUCUUAGUGGCGCAGCUAACGCAUUNCUUUAAANGGGCCUGGGGAGUACGGCCGCAAGGUUAAAACUCAAAGGAAUGACCGGAAUGGGCGAAUNCGCGCCGCAUU